AUAUCAUUAAGCGGAGGAAAAGAAGCUAACAAGGAUGCCCUCAGUAACGGCGAGUGAAGUGGGCAAAGCUCAAACUGAAAAUCCGUCCCCCAAGCGGGGGAUGCGAAUUGUAGUCUAUAGACGCGCUAGCAGCAGUGGGCCGGGUAUAGAUCUUUUGAAACAAGGUGUCAUAGAGGGUGAGAACCCCGUCCAUGACUCGGAUUCCGCUGCGUACGCUGCGUGUUCAAAGAGUCGGGUUGUUUGGGAAUGCAGCUCAAAAUGGGUGGUAAAUGCCAUCUAAAGCUAAAUAUUGGCGAGAGACCGAUAGCGCACAAGUA
RNAcentral lists this ribosomal RNA (317 nucleotides) under uncultured eukaryote. RNAcentral's name for it is "partial large subunit ribosomal RNA". It matches the Rfam family "Eukaryotic large subunit ribosomal RNA", at positions 40 to 350 of the family's 3401-position model. The record is from RNAcentral.